UACAGAGGGUGCGAGCGUUAAUCGGAAUUACUGGGCGUAAAGCGCACGUAGGCGGCUUGGUAUGUCGGGUGUGAAAUCCCCGGGCUCAACCUGGGAAUGGCAUUGGAAACUGGCGGGCUUGAGUGUGGCAGAGGGGGGUGGAAUUCCGCGUGUAGCAGUGAAAUGCGUAGAGAUGCGGAGGAACACCGAUGGCGAAGGCAGCCCUCUGGGCUAACACUGACGCUCAGGCACGAAAGCGUGGGGAGCAAACAGG
Molecule: ribosomal RNA, 253 nt
Filed under: uncultured bacterium
Lineage: Bacteria
Description: partial 16S ribosomal RNA
Rfam family: Bacterial small subunit ribosomal RNA
Source: RNAcentral